GCGGUUUGCCGCGUCUGCCGUGAAAGUCCGGGGCUUAACUCCGGAUCUGCGGUGGGUACGGGCAGACUUGAGUGAUGUAGGGGAGACUGGAAUUCCUGGUGUAGCGGUGAAAUGCGCAGAUAUCAGGAGGAACACCGACGGCGAAGGCAGGUCUCUGGGCAUUAACUGACGCUGAGGAGCGAAAGCAUGGGGAGCGAACAGGAUUAGAUACCCUGGUAGUCCAUGCCGUAAACGUUGGGCACUAGGUGUGGGGGACAUUCCACGUUUUCCGCGCCGUAGCUAACGCAUUAAGUGCCCCGCCUGGGGAGUACGGCCGCAAGGCUAAAACUCAAAGGAAUUGACGGGGGCCCGCACAAGCGGCGGAGCAUGCGGAUUAAUUCGAUGCAACGCGAAGAACCUUACCAAGGCUUGACAUGAACCGGAACGGCGCAGAGAUGUGUCGGCCACUUGUGGCCGGUUUACAGGUGGUGCAUGGUUGUCGUCAGCUCGUGUCGUGAGAUGUUGGGUUAAGUCCCGCAACGAGCGCAACCCUCGUUCCAUGUUGCCAGCGGGUUAUGCCGGGGACUCAUGGGAGACUGCCGGGGUCAACUCGGAGGAAGGUGGGGACGACGUCAAAUCAUCAUGCCCCUUAUGUCUUGGGCUUCACGCAUGCUACAAUGGCCGGUACAAAGGGUUGCGAUGCUGUGAGGUGGAGCUAAUCCCAAAAAGCCGGUCUCAGUUCGGAUUGAGGUCUGCAACUCGACCUCAUGAAGUCGGAGUCGCUAGUAA
Molecule: ribosomal RNA, 768 nt
Filed under: uncultured bacterium
Lineage: Bacteria
Description: bacterial SSU rRNA
Rfam family: Bacterial small subunit ribosomal RNA
Source: RNAcentral